RNAcentral lists this long non-coding RNA (675 nucleotides) under Setaria viridis. RNAcentral describes it as "long non-coding RNA (SVIR_LNC001407)". Lineage: Eukaryota; Viridiplantae; Streptophyta; Magnoliopsida; Poales; Poaceae. The record is from RNAcentral.
UAACCUAGCAAAUAUAUAACCUUAUGUUGUGAAUUCAAGAAUUUUUGGCUAUUACAAAAAGAUGCACAUACAUGUACCACUAUACAUGAACAUCAACUUAGGACAAGUACAUUGGUAUUGUCUAAUAGACAGCCUAAUGCAUUGACACGUAAUUUUGAGAUGAUUUAAGAAGCAACAUGUAUAAUGGGUUGUCUUUUUUAAGUUAUCUCAUAUUAAUUAUAUUUUCUUAAUUUGCGCAUAGAAAAAAAUAUUAUGAGUUCUAUGGCAACCACAACUUGUACAAUGGUGGAGUCGUCGUCUCGUAAUUCUAUAUUUUAGUUUAUGAGGCGGUUGUCAAUGACCAAUUUCUCUUUCCUCUCAUCCACGUCAGCAAAAUCCUAUGUGGCAUUAAAUAGCGGGCUAAGGAGAUUUAGCGGCUGGACUCUAAACAGCUAAUAGUGGGCUAAAUUGUAUAUGAGAAAAAAUAGCGAUAUCUUGCCUCAAAUAGCUAUAGCGGGCUAUAUCACUCCUACAAAUAACACCGUUGAAUAAUGCACUUUGGAGUACAUGUGUAACUAUAAAUCACCGGCACCAGGGCAGUGGUUAUUUUGAACUUUAGUGGGGUGAAGUGAUACGGUUACAUUACACCUCCACCGCCGUAUCAAGAUAUCAAAGUUUCUUACCCACUUUUGUCAU